Transfer RNA from Brassica oleracea var. oleracea, 72 nucleotides. It matches the Rfam family "tRNA". Rfam says of the family: Transfer RNA (tRNA) molecules are approximately 80 nucleotides in length. The record is from Rfam. NCBI's taxonomy places the organism in Eukaryota, Viridiplantae, Streptophyta, Magnoliopsida, Brassicales, Brassicaceae.
GCCGUCUUAGGUCAGUGGUAGAGCGCGUGACUUUUAAUCUCGCGGCCAUGGGUUCGAUCCCCACAGACGGGG